Cinara cedri is the source of this 347-nucleotide non-coding RNA. NCBI's taxonomy places the organism in Eukaryota, Metazoa, Arthropoda, Insecta, Hemiptera, Aphididae. The record is from the annotation of a GenBank genome assembly.
UCCGACUUGAAAAACACCGAUCGCCAUAGUCGAGUUGGAUGAAGAAGACGAUUUUAUUGUCUGUUCACGAUUUUUAUUUGUAACAUCCUCUCGCUUUGAAAAUUCCCGGGCACGCCACUGAAUACAGACGUCCAAAACCGUCCAAAUGUCAAAAUCCGCAAUCGGAAUUUUCCGCGUUUAAAAUUCGGAAUUUUAUUUUCAUACUACUAAACCUACUACCCGGGAGACAAAAAGACGGGACAUCAGCCGCGCCGUUUGCGUAGAUCCGUUUUUUUAACUAAUGGAUACGACUAAACGCAGUAGCUAAACAGGCGCGAAUAGAUAUUCUAUGAAACGGCCACUUUGUG